GACGAACGCUGGCGGCGUGCCUAAUACAUGCAAGUUGAGCGCUGAAGGUUGGUACUUGUACCAACUGGAUGAGCAGCGAACGGGUGAGUAACGCGUGGGGAAUCUGCCUUUGAGCGGGGGACAACAUUUGGAAACGAAUGCUAAUACCGCAUAAAAACUUUAAACACAAGUUUUAAGUUUGAAAGAUGCAAUUGCAUCACUCAAAGAUGAUCCCGCGUUGUAUUAGCUAGUUGGUGAGGUAAAGGCUCACCAAGGCGAUGAUACAUAGCCGACCUGAGAGGGGUGUCGGCCAAAUUGGGACUGAGACACGGCCCAAGCUCCUAAGGGAGGCAGCAGUAGGGAAUCUUCGGGAAUGGACGAAAGUCUGACCGAGCAACGCCGCGUGAGGUAAGAUGGUUUUCGGAUCGUAAAACUCUGUUGGUAGAGAAGAACGUUGGUGAGAGGGGAAAGCUCAUCAAGUGACGGUAACUACCCAGAAAGGGACGGCUAACUACGUG
This 497-nucleotide ribosomal RNA is filed under the name uncultured bacterium. RNAcentral describes it as "partial 16S ribosomal RNA". It matches the Rfam family "Bacterial small subunit ribosomal RNA", at positions 28 to 507 of the family's 1533-position model. The record is from RNAcentral.